AUGUAGGUGAAGAAACAACGUGCACAAGUAAUGAUCAGACACCUAUCAACAAACCUGAUUUAUUCAGUAUCAUAUCGGAAUCUCUCCAAGACCUUGGAUUUAAUAUUCCAUCAGCAGAGGCCCAUUUCACAAAA
Molecule: long non-coding RNA, 134 nt
Organism: Amphimedon queenslandica
Lineage: Eukaryota; Metazoa; Porifera; Demospongiae; Haplosclerida; Niphatidae
Exons: 2
Source: RefSeq, a predicted model, not a curated record